CCUACGUGGGGCAGCAGUGAGGAAUAGUGGUCAAUGGGCGCUAGCCUGAACCAGCCAAGUAGCGUGAAGGAUGACUGCCCUAUGGGGUGUAAACUUCUUUGAUAGGGGAAUAAAGUGCAGUAUGUAUACAGCUUUGCAUGUACCGUAUGAAUAAGGAUAGGCUAACGCCGUGCCAGCAGCCGCGGUAAUACGGAGGAUCCGAGCGUUAUCCGGAUUUAUUGGGUGUACAGGGAGCGUAGGCGGGUUUUUAAGGCAGUUGUGAACGUUUGAGGCUCCACCGUAAAAUUGCAGUUGUUACUGGCAUCCUUGAGUCCAGUAGAGGUAGGCGGACUUCGUUGUGUAGCGGU
Molecule: ribosomal RNA, 347 nt
Filed under: uncultured bacterium
Lineage: Bacteria
Description: partial 16S ribosomal RNA
Rfam family: Bacterial small subunit ribosomal RNA
Source: RNAcentral